GAUGAACGCUAGCUACAGGCUUAACACAUGCAAGUCGAGGGGUAGCAGGGUAGCAAUACCGCUGACGACCGGCGCACGGGUGAGUAACACGUAUCCAACCUUCCCAUAACUCGGGGAUAGCCUUUCGAAAGAAAGAUUAAUACCCGAUAGUACUUUUUCAAGGCAUCUUGAAAAAGUUAAAGAUUUAUUGGUUAUGGAUGGGGAUGCGUUCCAUUAGAUAGUUGAUGAGGUAACGGCUCACCAAGUCUUCGAUGGAUAGGGGUUCUGAGAGGAAGGUCCCCCACAUUGGUACUGAGACACGGACCAAACUCCUACGGGAGGCAGCAGUGAGGAAUAUUGGUCAAUGGGCGAGAGCCUGAACCAGCCAAGUAGCGUGAAGGAUGAAGGUCCUAUGGAUUGUAAACUUCUUUUAUAGUAGAAUAAAGUGAGCCACGUGUGGUUUUUUGUAUGUAUACUAUGAAUAAGGAUCGGCUAACUCCGUGCCAGCCGCCGCGGUAA
Molecule: ribosomal RNA, 498 nt
Filed under: uncultured bacterium
Lineage: Bacteria
Description: partial 16S ribosomal RNA
Rfam family: Bacterial small subunit ribosomal RNA
Source: RNAcentral